This 494-nucleotide ribosomal RNA is filed under the name uncultured bacterium. RNAcentral describes it as "bacterial SSU rRNA". It matches the Rfam family "Bacterial small subunit ribosomal RNA", at positions 8 to 518 of the family's 1533-position model. The record is from RNAcentral.
AGAGUUGAUCAUGGCUCAGGACGAACGCUGGCGGCGUGCCUAACACAUGCAAGUCGAGCGGGGAGAUUCCUUCGGGAUGAUCCUAGCGGCGGACGGGUGAGUAACACGUGGGCAACCUGCCUCAUAGAGAGGAAUAGCCUUCCGAAAGGGAGAUUAAUACCUCAUAACAUUGCAGUUUCGCAUGGAACAGCAAUUAAAGGAGUAAUCCGCUAUGAGAUGGGCCCGCGGCGCAUUAGCUAGUUGGUGAGGUAAUGGCUCACCAAGGCGACGAUGCGUAGCCGACCUGAGAGGGUGAUCGGCCACAUUGGGACUGAGACACGGCCCAGACUCCUACGGGAGGCAGCAGGUGGGGAAUAUUGCACAAUGGGGGAAACCCUGAUGCAGCCAACGCCGCGUGAGUGAUGACGGCCUUCGGGUUGUAAAGCUCUGUCUUCAGGGACGAUAAUGACGGUACCUGAGGAGGAAGCCACGGCUAACUACGUGCCAGCAGCUGC